Molecule: long non-coding RNA, 300 nt
Filed under: Carica papaya (papaya)
Lineage: Eukaryota; Viridiplantae; Streptophyta; Magnoliopsida; Brassicales; Caricaceae
Description: long non-coding RNA (CPAP_LNC001363)
Source: RNAcentral
AAUAACAUUAUAAACAUCAUAAGAUCAUGCACACUCUGUAACAUAACACAUAUCAUACUUUUGUAUUUCAAUCAUCAGGCAACAAAUUUCCUCUUUUAUCAGCUUACUAGUAUCCAUGGGGAUCCAUAGGGGUCCUCGCUACACGUGAACUAUUCACCUUAAUUCCAGAGCCGUCCUCAUACCCCAUCCGGUAUGAGUGACAAAAUCAUAAACUUCAAUACCCCGUCCGGUAUGAGGGUGAAGCGGGCUGUCCCCAUACCCCGUUCGGUAUGAGCGCCAAAAUAUUUAAAGUCUCCAUAC